RNAcentral lists this ribosomal RNA (468 nucleotides) under uncultured bacterium. Its description in RNAcentral is "partial 16S ribosomal RNA". It matches the Rfam family "Bacterial small subunit ribosomal RNA", at positions 28 to 507 of the family's 1533-position model. The record is from RNAcentral.
GACGAACGCUGGCGGCGUGCUUAACACAUGCAAGUCGAACGGAAAGGCCCUGCUUUUGUGGGGUGCUCGAGUGGCGAACGGGUGAGUAACACGUGAGUAACCUGCCCUUGACUUUGGGAUAACUUCGGGAAACUGGGGCUAAUACCGGAUAGGAGCUCCUGCUGCAUGGUGGGGGUUGGAAAGUUUCGGCGGUUGUGGAUGGACUCGCGGCUUAUCAGCUUGUUGGUGGGGUAGUGGCUUACCAAGGCUUUGACGGGUAGCCGGCCUGAGAGGGUGACCGGCCACAUUGGGACUGAGAUACGGACCAGACUCCUACGGGAGGCAGCAGUGGGGAAUAUUGCACAAUGGGCGGAAGCCUGAUGCAGCAACGCCGCGUGCGGGAGGACGGCCUUCGGGUUGUAAACCGCUUUCGCCUGUGACGAAGCGUGAGUGACGGUAAUGGGUAAAGAAGCACCGGCUAACUACGUG